RNAcentral lists this ribosomal RNA (311 nucleotides) under Enterococcus hulanensis. RNAcentral describes it as "bacterial SSU rRNA". It matches the Rfam family "Bacterial small subunit ribosomal RNA", at positions 1 to 292 of the family's 1533-position model. Lineage: Bacteria; Bacillati; Bacillota; Bacilli; Lactobacillales; Enterococcaceae. The record is from RNAcentral.
UUAUAUGAGAGUUUGAUCCUGGCUCAGGACGAACGCUGGCGGCGUGCCUAAUACAUGCAAGUCGAACGCUUUUUCUUUCACCGGAGCUUGCUCCACCGAAAGAAAAGGAGUGGCGAACGGGUGAGUAACACGUGGGUAACCUGCCCAUCAGAAGGGGAUAACACUUGGAAACAGGUGCUAAUACCGUAUAACAAUCGAAACCGCAUGGUUUCGGUUUGAAAGGCGCUUUUGCGUCACUGAUGGAUGGACCCGCGGUGCAUUAGCUAGUUGGUGAGGUAACGGCUCACCAAGGCAACGAUGCAUAGCCGACC